UACGGAGGUGCAAGCGUUAAUCGGAAUUACUGGGCGUAAAGCGCGCGUAGGUUGUUUGUUAAGCGAGAUGUGAAAGCCCCGGGCUCAACCUGGGAACUGCAUUUCGAACUGGCAAGCUAGAGUACAGUAGAGGGUGGCGGAAUUUCCUGUGUAGCGGUGAAAUGCGUAGAGAUGGGAAGGAACAUCAGUGGCGAAGGCGGCCACCUGGACUGAUACUGACACUGAGGUGCGAAAGCGUGGGGAGCAAACAGG
Molecule: ribosomal RNA, 252 nt
Filed under: uncultured bacterium
Lineage: Bacteria
Description: partial 16S ribosomal RNA
Rfam family: Bacterial small subunit ribosomal RNA
Source: RNAcentral